Molecule: long non-coding RNA, 2556 nt
Filed under: Homo sapiens (human)
Lineage: Eukaryota; Metazoa; Chordata; Mammalia; Primates; Hominidae
Description: PREDICTED lncRNA (TCONS_00150650)
Source: RNAcentral
GUACACGGAGGCAGCAUGGGGAAAGGCAUUGAAGGGCGGGACCCCGGAGCCGACUUGCUGCAGAUCCAAAAAGGCGGAGCUAGAUAAAGAGGAAGGGGUGGAGCUAGAACUGGACACCUCGGGGGUUUCCUGCUUUAUGGCGAAGGACGGAGUUUUGCUCUUGUUGCCCAAGCUGGAGUGCAAUGGUGCGAUCUUCGCUUACUGCAACCUCUGCUUCCUGGGUUCAAGUGAUUCCCCUGCCUCAGCCUCCCGAGUAGCAGGGAUUACAGUCUUCAAAUAAGUGUUUACGUAGAAGCACCAUAUCUGAAACAGGUGACAGUGGACCAGUCUGAAUGAAAUGAGGGUUGGCAGGCCUGAGCUCCAAAACCUUCUGAUUGCCCAAGCCCUCCUUGUCUUGCUUGGAUUAUCUCCACACAAAUGGAGAAACUGGACAAGGUGGUCAUGGAGGUCCCUGAAAGCUCAAAGACUUUCUCAUUCCAGGAUUCCCCAUGUUCAUAUGCCAGCAUGGCAUGGGGGUGCUCUGUAGUCAAGCAGGGUCCUUUGGGGGGCUUAGGGAUGGAGCCAGGAAAUGGCUCUGGGACUCAGCGGGUGUCCAGAGUCUCAUCAGCAGGGUUUCUUUACUUUCACUGAGUGGCUGGUGCCUGCACACUGAGUUUUGCAGGCUUACUCUCACAGAGUGAGCUUCCUGCAGGCCCCCCACUGCAACCCCUUUCCUUCCUGGAGCUGUGUGCUGACUGGUGCGUGAGCACCCCAGGCCCUCUCCCCAUGCUGCUGAUGGUCAGCUUUCUCUGCACGCUCGUGGUUGCCACAGUCAACGCUGAUAAAAUUGCUGAUGCAGAUUGCCUGCCCAGCUGCGAGUGCUGGCACGGGACCAGCAGCCCAGACGGUCACUGGAAGUGGUUGGGCUGAUUAUUGGCAUCAUCUCCAUUGUCCUACUCGGUUCUUAAAGGCAUAUGGACUUGCCUCACUCCUACAGCAAAUGACGGCAUGGGCAAAGAGGGGCAACAGACCCACCCUGAAGACACUCCUCAUCUGGUUGACUUGGCAGGGUUAAGGGAAAAAGAUGUGAUGACUAGGAGCUGAGAGCUUAGUGGUUCUGCCAGAGCUGCAGAGUCUUUGUUGGCCUCAGGGUGGGACCUCUCACAUCUCUGUCAGCUUUUCACGGACACCAACCUGUUAUGAUUCAUUUCACCUGUCCUGAGCACUAGCAAGAAAAAUUCGCUGUAGCUUGUGAUGUAUUAUUCUGGAUUUCUCAACUCAUUCAUUUGUUCAUUCAUUCACUAUACCAUUACUGUCUAUUAUAAGGGGGGCACAAUGGUAGGUGCUGGGAAUAAAAACGAUGUUUAACGUUUCAUGAGGCUUCCCUGUCCUUAAGGAGUCCGCGUGUCUUUGUACCUGUCUGUCUGCUAGAUUAUUAAGUGACACUGUGAGAAGCUACUGAGAGCAGCAUGUGGGACAUGCAGAAGGGCAAGAGGCAGGAGAGAUGAUUCAUGUCGGAGGGGCAGGGGAGGACUGACGGAGAGGGUGAUGUUUGGCUGAGUCAUGAAGGCUAGUGGUAUUUUUCCAUGCAGAGAAGUGGGAGGAAAGGCAUUCUGUGUGGAGGGCACACAGUGUGCAAGGGCAGAGAGGUCAUUAUGUGAAGGCUUUGUGCUACUGCUUCAGAGUUGUGGAACGUGAUGUUGCAAUCUGGGAAAGACGCUGAUGGCAAGGGAUAGCAUCAUCAGGUUGUGCUGCCAUCCCUGAAAGGCCCAGGCUCAAAGGUUUUGGGUGAAGGAAGCCAGGAGGGUUAGAAAGGGAGGAAGAUGCCAGGGCAUCUGGUAAAAUAAAGCAUGUGUCAGGCUUGGAGUUGCAUAAGGCAGGUGCCCUGAGCCCAUUGAUGCAACUUCCAGCUGCUUUGAUGGAGCACAGGCUCAUUUGGAGAAUAGACCUUCUCUGGCCCUUGCCCACCCUGUUCACCUCCCAGGGCCCAGCUUCUCACCUGCUCGCCUUUGGUGUGGCUGGGGGAGGCAUAGGCCUCUGGGUAGUGCUGCCGCUCAAAUGGGCACUCGAGCGGCUCGAGGUGGUGCUGGCUGAAGGCAUCCGUGCGAAGGUGCUUUCGGGGUCCGCUGCUGCUGCUCUGUGAGUCAAUGCUUAGUCGGCAGCUAUCCUGAUCACCUGGUACCCCCCGGGAAGGAAGAAAGCUUUUAGGGGACCUAUCUAUUCAUGCUCUAGGCCAAAGUAGAGGACUGACUCCAAGCUGACUCACUGUGGAGGGAGAAAAAGGGCCAGCCACGUGGGCCCAGGAGCCUUGGCCAACUGAGGGACAGGACAUGUGACAGUCACAUGCAGAGCCCCUACAAAGUCCCAUAUCAUAAGUGGAAGGGUUUCUGUCCCCAUCAAAGCCUGAGCAAACUGCUCUCGUGCACCGCCCGCUGCCCUCCUGUCCCAGCACUCACUGUCAUCCAUUUUCCUCUUGUCGCUGCCAGGCUGAGCGAUGCCCAGGAGCCCAUUGAUGGAGUAGGUGGAGCCCAGGGAAUCCGACUGGGGUGACUCCGGGGGAGUUACAGCUGAGCUGGG